Molecule: ribosomal RNA, 449 nt
Filed under: uncultured bacterium
Lineage: Bacteria
Description: partial 16S ribosomal RNA
Rfam family: Bacterial small subunit ribosomal RNA
Source: RNAcentral
AACGAACGCUGGCGGCAGGCCUAAAACAUGCAAGUCGAACGCCCUAGCAAUAGGGAGUGGCGCACGGGUGAGUAACGCGUGGGAACGUGCCCUUCAGUACGGAACAACGUCGGGAAACUGACGCUAAUACCGUAUAAUAUCUCCGGAUCAAAGAUUUAUCGCUGAAGGAUCGGCCCGCGUCUGAUUAGCUAGUUGGUGAGGUAAUGGCUCACCAAGGCUACGAUCAGUAGCUGGUCUGAGAGGAUGAUCAGCCACACUGGGGCUGAGACACGGCCCAGACUCCUACGGGAGGCAGCAGUUAGGAAUAUUGGACAAUGGGCGAAAGCCUGAUCCAGCCAUGCAGCGUGUGUGAUGAAGGCCUUAGGGUUGUAAAGCACUUUCGUUGGGGAUGGUAAUGACCGUACCCAAAGAAGAAGCCACGGCUAAAUUCGUGCCAGCAGCCGCCGUAA